RNAcentral lists this long non-coding RNA (1330 nucleotides) under Panax ginseng (ginseng). RNAcentral describes it as "long non-coding RNA (PGIN_LNC014622)". Lineage: Eukaryota; Viridiplantae; Streptophyta; Magnoliopsida; Apiales; Araliaceae. The record is from RNAcentral.
GGAAAAGCUGGUUCAGGUUGCUUCCUUCAUCCACGUUAAAAGGUCUCAGAUCCAUUUUCAUACUAAUGAUUUCGUAUUCAGUGCAUUGAAGGAUUUCUGACUCCUCUCUGCAGCAUUCAUCAAUUCCCAGAAGAUAAGCAAGACGGACCCCUCCUCCUCGUUUUCUUAGGUUUAAUUAGGCCCCUUUUUUGUUUCUUCUAAAUUCAUUUUUAACCAGGUUAGGUUACUAUAUUUAUCUCCUUAUCAUUAAUUUUUUUUAUAAUGCAUGUAUUUAUCUACUUUAAUUGCCUCAUUUUCUUUUCCCUUAUCAUUUCUAUUAUCCGACAGUCGCAUUGAUUCAUAAUGGCUUUUUAUCUGGUCAUGACUGCAAUGGGACAUUGAUUUCUGAUGCUUUGUUUGUUUUAAGCCUUGUCUUCAUUUGUUUUCAGUCUUGGCAUUUCCUGCAUGCUGGAGCUAGGAAGAUACAGAGGCCACAUUUUCAAGCUGACUUGGUUGCUUUCAUUGUCCUGAAUUCGUGAACUUUUUUGUCAGCUUCUCCCUUCCACAAAGAUAAACCAAAAAACAAAGGUCAGGAUCCAUUUUUUCUCUCAAAGGCCCAUUUCUCUUGCCCCGGUUUAUAUUUUGCAAUACUCAGGCUAAGGUGUUCAAGUUCGGGUCAUUAUAUUAUCUUCUUUCAGAAGAAAAACUUCUGUCGUUUUUAGAUUAUGAAUUUGAUGGCUUCCCAUUAGAGGUAGUUUGAUUGGAAAGAAAAUUUGCUUAGAUAGGAUUUGCACAGGACUGGAAAAAGAACUAUGCUUUGGGUUACCAUUUCAUGUUUAUUGGAGAUUUAGGAAACUGCUUGUGGCAUUUAAUUAUGGUGAUCUCCGAUGUGUAUUCAUUGGAGAAUUAUUUAUGACUUCAGGAACACCUUUGCUGUCUCCAUCUGAAUCUCUGUUUGUGCCAAAUUCUCAUUCCCAUUCUCAUCAUUCAUCCCUGGGAAUCAGUUCGUUGGGUUUUCUCUGUGAAAAUGAAUCCUCUUCUUCUACCAAUUUGGAGGAUGAUGCACAAGGCAAUCUGAUCAGUGUGAAGGAAGGGGGUGACAAGAAUCACAUUUCCCCUGUUCAUAAUAGAGGCCUCUCAGAGGAACUGACUGAGAAUUCUGCUUCUGUUGCAAAAUCCCAAGAGAUACAUCUGGCUGGGAUUCAGUUCCAUAAUCGGCAGUUUCCUUUGGAAUGCCCCCCCGCCAGAGAGGAAGAAACGCUUCGUUUCGUGGGGUGGUGCUUUGGAUAUUCAACACGGUUCCAAACACGCUGAGAUCUCUGGGGCUUCACCUCAAGCGGUUUCUUCUUGG